GCUGGCGGCAUGCCUCAUACAUGCAAGUCGAACGAGGUCUUCGGACCUAGUGGCGCACGGGUGAGUAACAUGUGGGAAUCUACCUGAAGGUUCGGAAUAACUGCGGGAAACUGUAGCUAAUACCGGAUGUGUCUGCAAAGAGAAAGAUUUAUCGCCUUCAGAUGAGCCCGCACUAGAUUAGCUAGUUGGUGAGGUAACUGCUCCACCAAGGCUACGAUCUAUAGCUGAUUUGAGAGGAUGAUCAGCCACACUGGGACUGAGACACGGCCCAGACUCCUACGGGAGGCAGCAGUAGGGAAUAUUGGACAAUGGGGGAAACCCUGAUCCAGCAAUGCCGCGUGAGUGAAGAAGGCCUUAGGGUUGUAAAACUCUUUCAUCAAUGAUGAUAAUGACAUUAAUUGAAGAAGAAGCUCCGGCUAACUUCGUGCCAGCAGCCGCGGUAAUACGAAGGGGGCUAGCGUUGUUCGGAAUCACUGGGCGUAAAGCGUAUGUAGGCGGAUCAAAAAGUUAGAUGUGAAAUCCCUGGGCUCAACCCAGGAACUGCAUUUAAAACUAGUGAUCUAGAAUUUGGUAAGGGUUAGUAGAAUUUCCAGUGUAGAGGUGAAAUUCGUAGAUAUUGGAAAGAAUACCAGAAGCGAAGGCGACUAACUAGGCCAUUUUUGACGCUGAGAUACGAAAGCGUGGGUAGCAAACAGGAUUAGAUACCCUGGUAGUCCACGCAGUAAACGAUGAGUGCUAGUCGCUGGUGCAAUAGUAUCAGUGUCGUAGCUAACGCAUUAAGCACUCCGCCUGGGAAG
Molecule: ribosomal RNA, 797 nt
Filed under: uncultured Alphaproteobacteria bacterium
Lineage: Bacteria; Pseudomonadati; Pseudomonadota; Alphaproteobacteria
Description: bacterial SSU rRNA
Rfam family: Bacterial small subunit ribosomal RNA
Source: RNAcentral